This 648-nucleotide unclassified non-coding RNA is filed under the name Hevea brasiliensis (rubber tree). The record is from RNAcentral. Lineage: Eukaryota; Viridiplantae; Streptophyta; Magnoliopsida; Malpighiales; Euphorbiaceae.
GGGAGUUUCACACCAUCUUUUAUCUCAAACGGUUCCGACCUUGGUUUUGCAAACUGGCCUGCCAUCCUUCCUACCUUGAUGAUGGGCAUUUGAGCACCGAAAGUGAGAACAACGCCCAUCUGUAGCAAAACCCGGAAGGUAUCACGAAUAUUAUUGGCAUUGAACUCUUUGAAACUCUCUGCACAAUCUCCACCCUGAAGCAGAAAGGCAUUUCCUACGGCCGCACUGGCUAUUCUUUCCUCGAGCCUCCUCGCCUCACCUGCGAAAACAAUUGGCGGGAAGCUGCUGAGGGUGUGGAGCACCGAUUCCAAUUCAGCCAGAUCAUUGUAUUCCGGGAGUUGCUGGGCCGGUUUUGAUUUCCAGCUGUCCAAUGACCAGUUGGGAGAAACUACGUUGGAUGAUGAGGAAGAGGAGCUGGAGACUGAGGCAAUGAUGGCAGGUCUGGGGUUUUUGGUGGGGUUGUGGGUGACAUGGAGGGGGAAGAUCUGAGGCUUGAGAUAAGAGGAGGUGGCGCUAGCGGUGGCGUUGGCAGGGGAGAUCGGUGUCUUAGCGGUGGUCAGAUUGGCGGAAGCAGAAAGAGCCAUUUCAGUGGGAAAAGCAGAAGCAUGGGUAAGCGUGACUGAAUAUUGAAGCAUGAUGACAUUACAC